Molecule: long non-coding RNA, 357 nt
Filed under: Oryza sativa (Asian cultivated rice)
Lineage: Eukaryota; Viridiplantae; Streptophyta; Magnoliopsida; Poales; Poaceae
Description: long non-coding RNA (OSAT_LNC001533)
Source: RNAcentral
CUUGCCGGCGUCGUACCACUGCGGCGCGUCGAUCAACCCGAUCUUCGUCAGCACCUCAGGCAGCAGCAUCCCGGCCACCCCCAGCAUCGCCCACCGCCCGUUCACCAGCUCCGCCUGCACGAACCACCGCAGGUUCUCCGGGUCCUCCGCCAGACCCAACGGGUCGAACCCGUUAUCGCCUGGCAAGCUGUACACACCCGUUUAACUAUCGUGUUAGUAGUUUUUUUAUGAUGCUCUCUACUGGUAGUAGAAAUAUAUUUUUUUUAUGUGUGUGCUCACCUGCCGUUGAGGUAGGUGGGAGAAGGGAGGCCGGGGAGCCACUCUCCCUUGGCCUCCGCCCGAACAUUACGCCUCGUA